UACAGAGGUCCCAAGCGUUGUUCGGAUUCACUGGGCGUAAAGGGUGCGUAGGUGGUGAGGUAAGUCGGAUGUGAAAUCUCCGAGCUCAACUCGGAAAUGGCAUUGGAAACUACCUUGCUAGAGGGUUGGAGGGGGGACUGGAAUACUUGGUGUAGCAGUGAAAUGCGUAGAUAUCAAGUGGAACACCAGUGGCGAAGGCGAGUCCCUGGACAACUCCUGACACUGAGGCACGAAAGCUAGGGGAGCAAACGGG
This 253-nucleotide ribosomal RNA is filed under the name uncultured bacterium. Its description in RNAcentral is "partial 16S ribosomal RNA". It matches the Rfam family "Bacterial small subunit ribosomal RNA", at positions 524 to 776 of the family's 1533-position model. The record is from RNAcentral.